This is a long non-coding RNA of Prunus dulcis (almond), 1027 nucleotides long. RefSeq lists it as uncharacterized. The transcript is spliced from 3 exons. NCBI's taxonomy places the organism in Eukaryota, Viridiplantae, Streptophyta, Magnoliopsida, Rosales, Rosaceae. The record is from RefSeq and is a predicted model, not a curated record.
UAUGAAUCUCUCACUCCCGAAUUUUUUUCUCCACCCUCUCAUAGCUUCGAUCUCACUAAGAAAAGGUAUUUACAUACAUACCUUUUUAUUACUCCCUUUGUAUGCAUCACAUAUCUGUAUCUGCUAAUUGCCCCAUGGAUGAUGGCCCUCAGUUUCUGAUGGUCCACUGUGCCUCCAUAUAGGAAAUGGGAAACUUAGUGAAUCUACCAGGUUACCUAUUCUCAAAUAGACAAAUCAUACAUGAAAAUCUUGAUAUGAUUGUAUAUGAGGAUUUGAAGAUGUUGGUCUUUGAGAGAGUUAAGUGAUAGCUGCUUAUGAAGAGAGGCUUUUGUCCUAGCUAUGAUCCUGGAGAUUUAUAGUGCAGAUAUUGAGUUCCUAUGCAAAUAGGUAUGUUUAUCACUUCUUGUAGGUUCCAUAUUUGGUUAUUAUCUUUCCUUUUUGUCCUGUGUUAGAAAUUAGAAUGUGGGAUUGGCUACACAUGCUCUGCCAAGUUACAUAGAUAACAUGUUGGCAACCAGAAUGAGUUCGCCUUUGUGGCUUGGCAUCUAUAGAAAGAUGAAACUUUGACUAUUAAAAUCAUCAUACAUGAAUAUCUAGAGUAACAGGUUAGCUGUUCUGGAAUUACCAGUAAGUUUUUAUUUGGUUAGGGCAACACUUCUCUGUUUUUCUGGGCAUGUUGAAUGGCAGGUGAUUUCAUUUGCUACCAGAAAUUUUGCCACAAUUUGAGUGGACUGGUCUGGACUGGACUGGACUGGGACUAUGCUGCCAUCAUUGUCCUUUCUAUAAAUAUUUAUUUAUUUGGUCAACAAUGGUUUUCUUGAAGAAACUUUGAAUACCUUGUUUUUAGCAAAAUUUUCAGUGAGCAGGUUAAAGAAAGGUGAAGGUAAGUUACUAAUGGUAAUUAAAUAUUAGGGUGCACAUGGGAUGAGCUCUGCAACUUCAUGCGUUUUGAAAUAUAUCUUUGUUUGUGUAUAGAUUUGGGCCACCACGUAUGCAAACAUGCUAAAGGUUGUAAUGGUUGAACAGA